UGGUUCUGGCAUCGAUGAAGAACGCAGCGAAAUGCGAUAAGUAAUGUGAAUUGCAGAAUUCCAGUGAAUCAUCGAAUCUUUGAACGCACAUUGCGCCCAUUAGUAUUCUAGUGGGCAUGCCUGUUCGAGCGUCAUUUCAACCCUCAAGCUCUGCUUGGUGUUGGGGGAGUCUUACCUGGUAAAACCCCCCGAAAAAUAUUGGCGGUGCUCGCCGGUACUCCAUGCGCAGUAAUUUUCAACUUCGUAUGGGCGCCGGCGGUGCCACGCCUGCCACGAAAAAACAAGAUUGUACGGUUGACCUCGGAUCAGGUAGGGAUACCCGCUGA
This 326-nucleotide unclassified non-coding RNA is filed under the name uncultured fungus. Its description in RNAcentral is "partial contains 5.8S ribosomal RNA and internal transcribed spacer 2". The stretch from base 1 to 134 matches the Rfam family "5.8S ribosomal RNA", at positions 22 to 154 of the family's 154-position model. The record is from RNAcentral. Lineage: Eukaryota; Fungi.